RNAcentral lists this ribosomal RNA (620 nucleotides) under Baetidae environmental sample. RNAcentral describes it as "SSU rRNA". It matches the Rfam family "Eukaryotic small subunit ribosomal RNA", at positions 769 to 1384 of the family's 1831-position model. The record is from RNAcentral. Lineage: Eukaryota; Metazoa; Arthropoda; Insecta; Ephemeroptera; Baetidae.
GAGUGCUCAAAGCAGGCCUUUGGUCGCCUGAAAACUGUGUGCAUGGAAUAAUGGAAUAGGGCCUCGGUUCUAUUUUGUUGGCUUUUCUGAACUUGAGGUAAUGAUUAAUAGGGNCAGACGGGGGCAUUNGUAUUGCGACGUUAGAGGUGAAAUUCUUGGAUCGUCGCAAGACGAACGGAUGCGAAAGCGUUUGCCAAGAAUGUUUUCGCUAAUCAAGAACGAAAGUUAGAGGUUCGAAGGCGAUCAGAUACCGCCCUAGUUCUAACCAUAAACGAUGCCAGCCAGCGAUGCGCCGAAGUUCCUCCGAUGACUCGGCGCGCAGCUUCCGGGAAACCAAAGCUUUUGGGUUCCGGGGGAAGUAUGGUUGCAAAGCUGAAACUUAAAGGAAUUGACGGAAGGGCACCACCAGGAGUGGAGCCUGCGGCUUAAUUUGACUCAACACGGGAAACCUCACCAGGCCCGGACAUCGGCAGGAUUGACAGAUUGAGAGCUCUUUCUUGAUUCGAUGGGUGGUGGUGCAUGGCCGUUCUUAGUUGGUGGAGCGAUUUGUCUGGUUAAUUCCGAUAACGAACGAGACUCUAGCCUAUUAAAUAGGCGCCGUUAUCUUUACGCUAGCNGNU